Molecule: ribosomal RNA, 484 nt
Filed under: uncultured bacterium
Lineage: Bacteria
Description: partial 16S ribosomal RNA
Rfam family: Bacterial small subunit ribosomal RNA
Source: RNAcentral
AUUGAACGCUGGCGGCGGGCCUAACACAUGCAAGUCGAGCGGAUGAAGGGAGCUUGCUCCUGGAUUCAGCGGCGGACGGGUGAGUAAUGCCUAGGAAUCUGCCUGGUAGUGGGGGAUAACGUCCGGAAACGGGCGCUAAUACCGCAUACGUCCUGAGGGAGAAAGUGGGGGAUCUUCGGACCUCACGCUAUCAGAUGAGCCUAGGUCGGAUUAGCUAGUUGGUGGGGUAAAGGCCUACCAAGGCGACGAUCCGUAACUGGUCUGAGAGGAUGAUCAGUCACACUGGAACUGAGCCACGGUCCAGACUCCUACGGGAGGCAGCAGUGGGGAAUAUUGGACAAUGGGCGAAAGCCUGAUCCAGCCAUGCCGCGUGUGUGAAGAAGGUCUUCGGAUUGUAAAGCACUUUAAGUUGGGAGGAAGGGCAGUAAGUUAAUACCUUGCUGUUUUGACGUUACCAACAGAAUAAGCACCGGCUAACUUCGUG